This 302-nucleotide unclassified non-coding RNA is filed under the name uncultured fungus. RNAcentral's name for it is "partial contains 5.8S ribosomal RNA, internal transcribed spacer 2, and large subunit ribosomal RNA". Lineage: Eukaryota; Fungi. The record is from RNAcentral.
AACGCACAUUGCGCCCUUUAGUAUUCUAGAGGGCAUGCCUAUUCGAGCGUCAUUAUCAACCCUCAAGCCCGGCUUGUUAUUGGGCCCGGGACGGGCGUGGCCUUGGUGCCCGCCGGUCCGGCCUCAAAGAUAAUGGCGGCGUCACGACGUGACUCCCGGUGCAGCGAGCUUUUUUGCAUACACUGGUGGCGGUUCGCGUGGCCCAGCCCCUUGUGACCGCAUCGCCGUCCCUUCGGGGGCGCACGGUGUGCUCUCUUUCUCAGGUUGACCUCGGAUUAGGUAGGAUUACCCGCUGAACUUAA